Molecule: long non-coding RNA, 547 nt
Organism: Oncorhynchus keta (chum salmon)
Lineage: Eukaryota; Metazoa; Chordata; Actinopteri; Salmoniformes; Salmonidae
Exons: 6
Source: RefSeq, a predicted model, not a curated record
CAUUAUGAAUGGUUAAGGUUUGGGAUAGAGUUAAAACAUUAAGUUUAGGGCCUCAUUAUGAAUGGUUAAGGUUUGGGAUAGAGUUUAAACAUUAAGUUUAGCCCCUCAUUAUGAAUGGUUAAGGUUUGGGAUAGAGUUUAAACAUUAAGUUUAGGGCCUCAUUAUGAAUGGUUAAGGUUUGGGAUAGAGUUUAAACAUUAAGUUUAGGGCCUCAUUAUGAAUGGUUAAGGUUUGGGAUAGAGUUUAAACAUUAAGUUUAGGGCCUCAUUAUGAAUGGUUAAGGUUUGUGAUAGAGUUUAAACAUUAAGUUUAGGGCCUCAUUAUGAAUGGUUAAGGUUUGGGAUAGAGUUUAAACAUUAAGUUUAGGGCCUCAUUAUGAAUGGUUAAGGUUUGGGAUAGAGUUUAAACAUUAAGUUUAGGGCCUCAUUAUGAAUGGUUAAGGUUUGGGAUAGAGUUUAAACAUUAAGUUUAGGGCCUCAUUAUGAAUGGUUAAGGUUUGUGAUAGAGUUUAAACAUUAAGUUUAGGGCCUCAUUAUGAAUGGUUAAG